RNAcentral lists this long non-coding RNA (606 nucleotides) under Manihot esculenta (cassava). Its description in RNAcentral is "long non-coding RNA (MESC_LNC010316)". Lineage: Eukaryota; Viridiplantae; Streptophyta; Magnoliopsida; Malpighiales; Euphorbiaceae. The record is from RNAcentral.
UCUGAAUAAGAAUUGCAAGUGUGGCAUUAGGGCUGCUGUGAGGAUUUCUGAAUCUGAAAGGAACAAGAACUGCUUGUAUUAUGCUUGUCGCAACAACGUACGUGGCUCGUUCCUGGGAUGGUGUAUACUGGCAUCGAGGUUUUCAGCAAGUGCAGAGACAGUUGAAGUCGGGCCGAGGCAAAGAAAUCUUGGGCGAGAGUUGGCCGAUAUAAAAGAAGAUAUGCUUAUUGUGCAAGAUGAGAAUCGAAAGAUGAUAAUGAAGAUGGAAGAUAUGGAGAAUAUGAUGGGUUUUACAAAGACUAUCUUAGUUGUUGUAUUGGUGUUAAUAGUGUUUAUUUUUCUUCUCAUUCUCGUUCUCAUUGGGGGGAGAAUGAGAUCUGUGUAAUGGAUUUUGCAGUAUUUGCUUAUUGGGGUUAUUUUGGGUGUAAGUAAAUGGAUGAAAAGGGGUAGGUUGUUGAAGUAGUUGGAUGUGGGUUAAUGAAAUCUUAAGUUUCAUAGAUAGUUGGUUAUUUUGGGUGUAAGUUAAGCUGAUGUAUUAUAACUGAUGGGUUAAUAUUUUGUAAUACGUAAAUCUGAUGCAAUGCAAGCUACUAUGAAUGAUGACCA